RNA transcript from Triticum aestivum (bread wheat), 1557 nucleotides. RefSeq lists it as uncharacterized. Lineage: Eukaryota; Viridiplantae; Streptophyta; Magnoliopsida; Poales; Poaceae. The transcript is spliced from 4 exons. The record is from RefSeq and is a predicted model, not a curated record.
GCACCGAGACCGCUCCUCACCAACAUGCCCAUCUAUCCUCCCGAUGCCGCCCUCCAGCCUCCACCCGAGAUCCCAUGGCGCGCUACGUUGCCGCUCCAGCUGGCCGGUCAAGAGGUGCGCACAGGCUACAACAUGAAUCGGGAGAGCUGUGUACCAUCGUCUCCCAUGGAUCUUCCUCGGCUCUGGCUUCCUGGCCUGAAGGCGGAUAAACAGCGAUGGCCUUCGCGUGGUCCAAGGUGGCACGCCUGCAGCUGGCGGUGGAUAGCUCGCUGCCCUACUGCUCUCUAUCCUAAUCGGCUCCCCUUGGCCUUCCCCAGCUUCGGCCCCGGCUGCCGGUCCCCUCCAUCUGCCCGACAACCGUCCCUCCGCUGCUGCGUUCUUGCAAGGUAUUCCGUGCAGGUCUGUGGUGAGGACACAAAUUUGGGCAUCUAGCUCCUUGCAUGAAUGUGCAAGGAAUUCAGAACCUGCAUCUUUUCUUCAAUAUAACAUGGUAUAUUUAUCUGUGAUCUCUCCUUGAUGUUGUGUUGCAUUUUUCUUGAUGGAAGUAAUUUUGGUUUAAUUUCACAUGAUGAUAAAGAAAUAAACACAUGACAUGCUGAAUAGCUGACAUACAGAGGAAAUGCUAUAGCUUGAUGAUUAUUGCAGUACUACAUUAUUUUCAGGUUGCCGAAAGUAGGGCGCUCAGCCAUUGAGGCAUUAUCACUUUUUUAAGAAGCUUUGCAAAAUCUGCUCUUAUACUAAAGAAAACUAAUGUAAGUUUGUUAGCCUUAUAGGGUACUAAUAUGCUGAACACAUGAUAUUAAAUAUAUAGUACAUUGCACUGUGAAGUGAGUAUGUAUAUACUAUCCGAACAGGAUUCUGUAUGUCAUACUUGACUUCAUCAUGCUUUGUUUUCAGAUGUAUUCUUUAGGCAUACACUAAUGUGGUAGCUUGGUCAUAUUCUGUAGCUAAUUUAGUUACCACAAUACUCAGGAUUUUUUUUCCCGGCUUUCAAUAUAUAAAUAACUUCCACUUGCCAUUUCACAUGAUAAGCACUACAUUCCAUUUAUUUAUGCCCUACAACUUAUUAUUUUGGAUAGGCACAACUGAAGUCUUGAGUUUUUGAGUAUCAUAGAAGAACCACAUUUCUUUUUGUAGCGAUAGAACAAAUUGAUCAACAUUCGACCUUUUUCAGCUAUUAUAGGAACACUAAGAUGCACAAAAUCAACCUGUGUUAGGGCCAAUGGUCCUUUCCAAAUGUGAAAUCUUGCAUGUGUUAUUUAUCAAUUCCAAAAGGUGAUGGUUGUGUUAUUACGUUAGAAAAGAGGUACUUGUACAAUUUUGCGACUGAUUUUGGCUAAGGGUUUUUCGGUUCUCAUCUCUAUAUGGAUAUACAUUUUUCAGGUUAGUGGUUUAGGGGUUCCUGCCAAGACUGGAUUUUGGAAUCUAUCCUCGCUUCACCAGUUGGGCUUAACAAGGACAUAAUUAAUUCUUUGUUGGUUAGUAGUACGGGACUUCCUGUCAAGAACAACUUUUGGAAGUUAAGCUAGCUUCAUCAGUUGGGAUUUCUGUAUAAAA